CCUUCUUUUCUGCAUCAGUUGCUUCCUGGAACUUAGAGUUCAAUGCAUCCUGUUCCUCUUGGCUAAGUUGGUCAACAAGAUGCUUCUCCAGUGCAGGAACUUUAGGCUUCUGUUGACUAGGCUGCACAACUUCAUUGAGCUGGGAAAUGGGAACUGGGCGUGGAGGCUUCCCUGGAGCACCAGAAGCCACCUGUCCUGCACCCCUUGACCCUUGUGUUGGUUGACUAGGCUGCGCAACUUCAUUGGGCUGGGAAAUGGGAACUGGGCGUGGAGGCUUCCCUGGAGCACCAGAAGCCACCUGUCCUGCACCCCUUGGCCCCUGUGUUUGCUGGGAAGC
Molecule: long non-coding RNA, 337 nt
Filed under: Nicotiana benthamiana
Lineage: Eukaryota; Viridiplantae; Streptophyta; Magnoliopsida; Solanales; Solanaceae
Description: long non-coding RNA (NBEN_LNC039388)
Source: RNAcentral